RNAcentral lists this ribosomal RNA (1356 nucleotides) under Mycobacterium sp. DWMJ-3000A1. RNAcentral's name for it is "bacterial SSU rRNA". It matches the Rfam family "Bacterial small subunit ribosomal RNA", at positions 69 to 1431 of the family's 1533-position model. Lineage: Bacteria; Bacillati; Actinomycetota; Actinomycetes; Mycobacteriales; Mycobacteriaceae. The record is from RNAcentral.
GAAGGCUCUUCGGGGUACUCGAGUGGCGAACGGGUGAGUAAGCACGUGGGUGAUCUGCCCUGCACUUUGGGAUAAGCCUGGGAAACUGGGUCUAAUACCGAAUAGGACCACGCGCUCGNUCAUGGUGUGUGGUGGAAAGCUUUUGCGGUGUGGGAUGGGCCCGCGGCCUAUCAGCUUGUUGGUGGGGUAAUGGCCUACCAAGGCGACGACGGGUAGCCGGCCUGAGAGGGUGACCGGCCACACUGGGACUGAGAUACGGCCCAGACUCCUACGGGAGGCAGCAGUGGGGAAUAUUGCACAAUGGGCGCAAGCCUGAUGCAGCGACGCCGCGUGAGGGAUGACGGCCUUCGGGUUGUAAACCUCUUUCAAUAGGGACGAAGCGCAAGUGACGGUACCUAUAGAAGAAGCACCGGCCAACUACGUGCCAGCAGCCGCGGUAAUACGUAGGGUGCGAGCGUUGUCCGGAAUUACUGGGCGUAAAGAGCUCGUAGGUGGUUUGUCGCGUUGUUCGUGAAAACUCACAGCUUAACUGUGGGCGUGCGGGCGAUACGGGCAGACUAGAGUACUGCAGGGGAGACUGGAAUUCCUGGUGUAGCGGUGGAAUGCGCAGAUAUCAGGAGGAACACCGGUGGCGAAGGCGGGUCUCUGGGCAGUAACUGACGCUGAGGAGCGAAAGCGUGGGGAGCGAACAGGAUUAGAUACCCUGGUAGUCCACGCCGUAAACGGUGGGUACUAGGUGUGGGUUCCUUCCUUGGGAUCCGUGCCGUAGCUAACGCAUUAAGUACCCCGCCUGGGGAGUACGGCCGCAAGGCUAAAACUCAAAGGAAUUGACGGGGGCCCGCACAAGCGGCGGAGCAUGUGGAUUAAUUCGAUGCAACGCGAAGAACCUUACCUGGGUUUGACAUGCACAGGACGCCGGCAGAGAUGUCGGUUCCCUUGUGGCCUGUGUGCAGGUGGUGCAUGGCUGUCGUCAGCUCGUGUCGUGAGAUGUUGGGUUAAGUCCCGCAACGAGCGCAACCCUUGUCCUAUGUUGCCAGCGGGUUAUGCCGGGGACUCGUAGGAGACUGCCGGGGUCAACUCGGAGGAAGGUGGGGAUGACGUCAAGUCAUCAUGCCCCUUAUGUCCAGGGCUUCACACAUGCUACAAUGGCCGGUACAAAGGCNAUNGCUGCGAUGCCGUAAGGUGGAGCGAAUCCUUUCAAAGCCGGUCUCAGUUCGGAUCGGGGUCUGCAACUCGACCCCGUGAAGUCGGAGUCGCUAGUAAUCGCAGAUCAGCAACGCUGCGGUGAAUACGUUCCCGGGCCUUNAGUACACACCGCCCGUCACGUCAUGAAAGUCGGUAACACCCGAAGCCGGU